GACGAACGCUGGCGGCGUGCCUAAUACAUGCAAGUCGAACGCUGAAGGAGGAGCUUGCUUCUCUGGAUGAGUUGCGAACGGGUGAGUAACGCGUAGGUAACCUGCCUUGUAGCGGGGGAUAACUAUUGGAAACGAUAGCUAAUACCGCAUAACAGUAGAUAUCGCAUGAUAUCUACUUGAAAGUUGCAAUUGCAUCACUACCAGAUGGACCUGCGUUGUAUUAGCUAGUUGGUGAGGUAACGGCUCACCAAGGCGACGAUACAUAGCCGACCUGAGAGGGUGAGCGGCCACACUGGGACUGAGACACGGCCCAGACUCCUACGGGAGGCAGCAGUAGGGAAUCUUCGGCAAUGGACGGAAGUCUGACCGAGCAACGCCGCGUGAGUGAAGAAGGUUGUCGGAUCGUAAAGCUCUGUUGUAAGAGAAGAACGAGGGUGAGAGUGGAAAGUUCACACUGUGACGGUAUCUUACCAGAAAGGGACGGCUAACUACGUG
This 495-nucleotide ribosomal RNA is filed under the name uncultured bacterium. Its description in RNAcentral is "partial 16S ribosomal RNA". It matches the Rfam family "Bacterial small subunit ribosomal RNA", at positions 28 to 507 of the family's 1533-position model. The record is from RNAcentral.